This 439-nucleotide ribosomal RNA is filed under the name uncultured bacterium. RNAcentral's name for it is "partial 16S ribosomal RNA". It matches the Rfam family "Bacterial small subunit ribosomal RNA", at positions 338 to 795 of the family's 1533-position model. The record is from RNAcentral.
CCUACGGGCGGCAGCAGUGGGGAAUAUUGCACAAUGGGGGAAACCCUGAUGCAGCAACGCCGCGUGAGUGAUGACGGCCUUCGGGUUGUAAAGCUCUGUCUUCAGGGACGAUAAUGACGGUACCUGUGGAGGAAGCCACGGCUAACUACGUGCCAGCAGCCGCGGUAUAACGUGGGUGGCGAGCGCUGUCGGGAUUUGCUGGGCGUAAAGGGAGCGUAGGCGGACUUUUAAGUCAGCGGUAAAAAUUCGGGGCCCAACCCGGUCCGGCCGUUGAAAGUGGGGGCCUUGAGUGGGCGAGAAGAAGGCGGGAUGCGUGGUGUAGCGGUGAAAUGCGUAGAUAUCACGCAGAACCCCGAUUGCGAAGGCAGCCUUCCGGCGCCCUACUGACGCUGAGGCGCGAAAGUGCGGGGAUCGAACAGGAUUAGAUACCCGUGUAGUC